GACGAACGCUGGCGGCGUGCUUAACACAUGCAAGUCGUACGGUAAGGCCCUUUCGGGGGUACACGAGUGGCGAACGGGUGAGUAACGCGUGAGUAACCUGCCCACAACUUUGGGAUAACGCUAGGAAACUGGUGCUAAUACUGGAUAUGUGCUCCUGCUGCAUGGUGGGGGUUGGAAAGCUCCGGCGGUUGUGGAUGGACUCGCGGCCUAUCAGCUUGUUGGUGGGGUAGUGGCCUACCAAGGCGGCGACGGGUAGCCGGCCUGAGAGGGUGACCGGCCACAUUGGGACUGAGAUACGGCCCAGACUCCUACGGGAGGCAGCAGUGGGGAAUAUUGCACAAUGGGCGCAAGCCUGAUGCAGCAACGCCGCGUGCGGGAUGACGGCCUUCGGGUUGUAAACCGCUUUCAGCAGGGACGAAGCUUUUUGUGACGGUACCUGCAGAAGAAGCACCGGCUAACUACGUG
RNAcentral lists this ribosomal RNA (465 nucleotides) under uncultured bacterium. RNAcentral's name for it is "partial 16S ribosomal RNA". It matches the Rfam family "Bacterial small subunit ribosomal RNA", at positions 28 to 507 of the family's 1533-position model. The record is from RNAcentral.